Molecule: ribosomal RNA, 292 nt
Filed under: uncultured bacterium
Lineage: Bacteria
Also listed under: 2 other names
Description: partial 16S ribosomal RNA
Source: RNAcentral
GGACUACUAGGGUAUCUAAUCCCGUUCGCUCCCCUGGCUUUCGCGCAUCAGCGUCAGAAGAGGUCCAGCACGCCGCUUUCGCCACCGGCGUUCCUUCCGAUAUCAACGCAUUUCACCGCUCCACCGGAAGUUCCGCAUGCCCCUACCUCCCUCCAGACAGCCAGUAUCCAAGGCCCUUUUCCGGUUGAGCCGAAAGAUUUCACCCCGGACUUGACUGCCCGCCUACGCGCCCUUUAAGCCCAGUGAUUCCGAACAACGUUCGCACGGUUCGUCUUACCGCGGCUGCUGGCAC